UUACAGAGGGAUAGCCCAGAGAAAUUUGGAUUAAUACCUCAUGGUAUAACACCACCGCAUGAUGGUGUUAUUAAAGUCACAACGGUAAAAGAUGGGCAUGCGUCCCAUUAGCUAGAUGGUAAGGUAACGGCUUACCAUGGCUACGAUGGGUAGGGGUCCUGAGAGGGAGAUCCCCCACACUGGUACUGAGACACGGACCAGACUCCUACGGGAGGCAGCAGUGAGGAAUAUUGGUCAAUGGACGCAAGUCUGAACCAGCCAUGCCGCGUGCAGGAUGACGGUCCUAUGGAUUGUAAACUGCUUUUGUACGAGAAGAAACAACAUUACGUGUAAUGUCUUGACGGUAUCGUAAGAAUAAGGAUCGGCUAACUCCGUGCCAGCAGCCGCGGUAAUACGGAGGAUCCAAGCGUUAUCCGGAAUCAUUGGGUUUAAAGGGUCUGUAGGCGGUUUGGUAAGUCAGUGGUGAAAGCCCAUCGCUCAACGGUGGAACGGCCAUUGAUACUGCCAGACUUGAAUUACUGGGAAGUAACUAGAAUAUGUAGUGUAGCGGUGAAAUGCUUAGAGAUUACAUGGAAUACCAAUUGCGAAGGCAGGUUACUACCAGUGGAUUGACGCUGAUGGACGAAAGCGUGGGGAGCGAACAGGAUUAGAUACCCUGGUAGUCCACGCCGUAAACGAUGGAUACUAGCUGUUGGUGGCAACAUCAGUGGCUAAGCGAAAGUGAUAAGUAUCCCACCUGGGGAGUACGGGCGCAAGCCUGAAACUCAAAGGAAUUGACGGGGGCCCGCACAAGCGGUGGAGCAUGUGGUUUAAUUCGAUGAUACGCGAGGAACCUUACCAAGGCUUAAAUGUAGUUUGACCGAUUUGGAAACAGAUCUUUCGCAAGACAGAUUACAAGGUGCUGCAUGGUUGUCGUCAGCUCGUGCCGUGAGGUGUCAGGUUAAGUCCUAUAACGAGCGCAACCCCUGUUGUUAGUUGCCAGCGAGUAAUGUCGGGAACUCUAGCAAGACUGCCGGUGCAAACCGUGAGGAAGGUGGGGAUGACGUCAAAUCAUCACGGCCCUUACGCCUUGGGCUACACACGUGCUACAAUGGCCGGUACAGAGAGCAGCCACUUCGUGAGGAGGAGCGAAUCUAUAAAACCGGUCACAGUUCGGAUCGGAGUCUGCAACUCGACUCCGGAAGCUGGAAUCG
RNAcentral lists this ribosomal RNA (1193 nucleotides) under uncultured bacterium. RNAcentral describes it as "bacterial SSU rRNA". It matches the Rfam family "Bacterial small subunit ribosomal RNA", at positions 133 to 1334 of the family's 1533-position model. The record is from RNAcentral.